UGGCCGUAAACGAUGUGGACUUGGUGUUGGGAUGGCUCCGAGCUGCCCCAGUGCCGAAGGGAAGCUGUUAAGUCCACCGCCUGGGAAGUACGGUCGCAAGACUGAAACUUAAAGGAAUUGGCGAGGGAGCACCACAACGGGAGGAGCGUGCGGUUUAAUUGGGAUUCAACACCGUAAAACUCACCAGGGAAGACUGUUACAUGAAGGCCGAGAUGAAGACUCUGCUAGAUUUUCAGAGAGGUGGUGCAUGGCGUCAGUGACU
RNAcentral lists this ribosomal RNA (262 nucleotides) under uncultured archaeon. RNAcentral describes it as "partial 16S ribosomal RNA". It matches the Rfam family "Archaeal small subunit ribosomal RNA", at positions 748 to 1008 of the family's 1478-position model. The record is from RNAcentral.